Molecule: long non-coding RNA, 584 nt
Organism: Helianthus annuus (common sunflower)
Lineage: Eukaryota; Viridiplantae; Streptophyta; Magnoliopsida; Asterales; Asteraceae
Exons: 4
Source: RefSeq, a predicted model, not a curated record
AGUUCACAAAAACAAACACACUGGUGUGUGUUGUUGUUCGAUCAGGCAGAGACCAAAAAGGGGGAAACCCUAGCUCUUAGAGAUUAUCAAGGUUAAGGAGAAAUUGAGAGCCCAAACCAAUGCUAGAACCCGAAUUUUCAUCCAUCUAAGCUUGAACAUCAAAAGGCGUGAAGGAAGAAAGCACGAACACUAAUAGGGCGGAAGGUGUACAAGACCGAGGCGUGAAGGAAGAAAGCACGAACACUAAUAGGGCGGAAGGUGUACAAGACCGAGGUAAAUCCUCGACUUAGGCGAUUGGACGGCUUGGAACGUGCACACUUGGUUUACGCCCGCCUCACGCUUCCGUUAUAAAUUACUUUUGAAAUGGGUCAAUUUUGUGGUCGUAUGUACUUUAAGUCCAUGUAGUAUGUUGUUGUCUUGUUGUAGGGUAAAAACUUAGUAGUUGUAGUCAUAUCGGGUCUAAUGUAAGCUUUGCCCGUUUAGGGAAUUGUCAAGAUGGUUAGACUUUGAAGUUUUGUUGUGUAAACAGGUAGUUAAUGGUUUUAAACAAAUGGGUCAUGCCGAAAUUUACAAAAAUUUUCCUA